This is a long non-coding RNA of Mizuhopecten yessoensis (Yesso scallop), 413 nucleotides long. RefSeq lists it as uncharacterized. The transcript has 3 exons. The record is from RefSeq and is a predicted model, not a curated record. Lineage: Eukaryota; Metazoa; Mollusca; Bivalvia; Pectinida; Pectinidae.
UAUGUUAUGUGUCUGAGUGAUCAGCCUCUUACGUCAUCAUAAGUGACACACCUUUGCUAUGGUGUUUGCCGGCGAAGCAUAUAACCCGUGGAUACUUAAGUCAAAUUAAAGAAAUGGCGGACUCUGGUGAGGAAAGGAGUGUAUCUUUGGAAGAACUGAAUGGUUGGUCAAAGAAAAAUGUACAACAUUGGCUAACAAAACGUAUUGUUUGAAAAAGUCUGGAAACAAAACUGUUCUGGUGAAUAGAAUAUUGCGUACUAUUAAUUUUGGUGAGAGCGAUAUAUCAUCAGACAGCUCGGAUGAUGAAAACAAUUGAUACACAAACUUGCCUGAUGUCAAGGAACUGAAUGAAUGGGAUGAGCUGACAACUUCUAAUUGCCCUCCUGUAAGAUCAGAGGAUGUAGAUAAUUACU